This is a non-coding RNA of Rattus norvegicus (Norway rat), 69 nucleotides long. The record is from Rfam. Lineage: Eukaryota; Metazoa; Chordata; Mammalia; Rodentia; Muridae.
GGGGAUUUGGCUCAGUGGUAAAGCGCUUGCCUAGCAAGCGCAAGGCCCUGGGUUCGAUCCCCAGCUCCG